This 467-nucleotide ribosomal RNA is filed under the name uncultured bacterium. RNAcentral's name for it is "partial 16S ribosomal RNA". It matches the Rfam family "Bacterial small subunit ribosomal RNA", at positions 28 to 506 of the family's 1533-position model. The record is from RNAcentral.
GACGAACGCUGGCGGCGUGCUUAACACAUGCAAGUCGAACGGAAAGGCCCUGCUUUUGUGGGGUGCUCGAGUGGCGAACGGGUGAGUAACACGUGAGUAACCUGCCCUUGACUUUGGGAUAACUUCAGGAAACUGGGGCUAAUACCGGAUAGGAGCUCCUGCUGCAUGGUGGGGGUUGGAAAGUUUCGGCGGUUGGGGAUGGACUCGCGGCUUAUCAGCUUGUUGGUGGGGUAGUGGCUUACCAAGGCUUUGACGGGUAGCCGGCCUGGGAGGGUGACCGGCCACGUGGGGCAGGGGAUGCGCCCCAGCCCCCUAGGGGGGGCAGGAGGGGGGAAUAUGGAAAAAGGGGGGAAAGCCUGAGGCAGAAACCCCGGGGGGGGGAUGACGGCUUUGGGGUUGUAACCCGUUUUCGCCUGGGACGAAGCGGGGGUGGCGUUAAUGGGUAAAGAAGCACCGGCUAACUACGU